Callithrix jacchus (white-tufted-ear marmoset) is the source of this 732-nucleotide non-coding RNA. The record is from RefSeq and is a predicted model, not a curated record. Lineage: Eukaryota; Metazoa; Chordata; Mammalia; Primates; Cebidae.
AAGCAGGAAGUACAUGGAGUUAAAGUAGGAAGUACAUGAAACUAGUUGCCAUUGGUAGGCAGGUGAGACCUUGGGUAAGUGGGCCUUGAUUGACUACUGGGGAAACAAAGAGAAGGCAUUUCUAUUGGCUGUUGAGGAGCAGGAAGUACAUGGAGUUAAAGUAGGAAGUACAUGAAACUAGUUGCCAUUGGUAGGCAGGUGAGACCUUGGGUCAUUCUGAGUCAUAGAAACCAGAGAUGGACACGCUCCUUAAUGCAAGGGCUGGACCACAGGACUAGGAGGGACAACUCUCAUGGAAACGGCAGGAGCCUCCUCUAUCAGAAACCAGGACGCAAAUGCCUUCUGAAGGCCAGACGGGUAAAGAGUCCCUGAAAUGGACUGAAGAGAUGAAUUCAAAAGGGAAGAGUUCCCAGGAGUCCUUCAGUCCAACCAGUCUUAAGCAGCAAGAUACAGAUACACGAGAUGAAAAAUAAAAUGUUUCCCACUAUGAUCUAUGGUUUUAAUAUUAGGGAUCAAUUUAAUUUUAACUGUGAUCUCUCCCCACUACCAAGUUGUCAAAUGUGAUUUUACAGUACCCUCAUCCGGAAGGGGUAACAAGGGGCUGUUGAAAGACCAGUGGACUUGGAACCAAAAGAUGUCCUGGAGUCCUUUCGUUCCUCAGCUGCUGGUAGGGUGACUUUGGAUAAAGAACCCCACUUCUCUAUGUUCUGAUUGCUUCAGCUUUCUUUCAAU